This 253-nucleotide ribosomal RNA is filed under the name uncultured bacterium. RNAcentral describes it as "partial 16S ribosomal RNA". It matches the Rfam family "Bacterial small subunit ribosomal RNA", at positions 524 to 776 of the family's 1533-position model. The record is from RNAcentral.
UACAGAGGGUGCGAGCGUUAAUCGGAAUUACUGGGCGUAAAGCGUGCGCAGGCGGCGCCGCACGUCAGGCGUGAAAUCCCCGAGCUUAACUUGGGAAUGGCGCUUGAAACUACGGUGCUGGAGUGUGGCAGAGGGAGGUGGAAUUCCACGUGUAGCGGUGAAAUGCGUAGAGAUGUGGAGGAACACCGAUGGCGAAGGCAGCCUCCUGGGCCAACACUGACGCUCAUGCACGAAAGCGUGGGGAGCAAACAGG